This 443-nucleotide ribosomal RNA is filed under the name uncultured bacterium. Its description in RNAcentral is "bacterial SSU rRNA". It matches the Rfam family "Bacterial small subunit ribosomal RNA", at positions 331 to 792 of the family's 1533-position model. The record is from RNAcentral.
CCAGACUCCUACGGGAGGCAGCAGUAGGGAAUUUUGCGCAAUGGGGGAAACCCUGACGCAGCAACACCGCGUGAAUGUUAAGCCCUUCGGGGUGUAAAGUUCUGUCAAUAGGGACGAAUUUUGACUGUACCUAUAAAGGAAGCAUCGGCUGACUCCGUGCCAGCAGCCGCGGUAAUACGGAGGAUGCGAGCGUUAUCCGGAUUUAUUGGGUUUAAAGGGUGCGCAGGCGGAGGCACAAGUCAGCGGUAAAAUCGCGGGGCUCACCCCCGCUCCGCCGUUGAAACUGUGUCCCUUGAGUGCGCGAAGGGUAGGCGGAAUGCGUGGUGUAGCGGUGAAAUGCAUAGAUAUCACGCAGAACUCCGAUCGCGAAGGCAGCCUACCGGCGCGCAACUGACGCUCAUGCACGAAAGCGUGGGUAUCGAACAGGAUUAGAUACCCCAGUA